CAGCCGUAAACUAUGCGCGUUAGGUGUAUCGGUGACCACGAGUCACCGAGGUGCCGAAGGGAAACCGUGAAACGUGCCGCCUGGGAAGUACGGUCGCAAGGCUGAAACUUAAAGGAGUUGGCGGGGGAGCACCACAACGGGUGGAGCCUGCGGUUUAAUUUGGACUCAACGCCGGGAAGCUCACCGGAUAAGACAGCGGAAUGAUUGCCGGGCUGAAGACUCUGCAUGACUAGCUGAGAGGAGGUGCAUGGCGUAGACGUCU
Molecule: ribosomal RNA, 262 nt
Filed under: uncultured archaeon
Lineage: Archaea
Description: partial 16S ribosomal RNA
Rfam family: Archaeal small subunit ribosomal RNA
Source: RNAcentral